CCUUAAUAACCGGAGAUAGCAAUAAAAGCAUGAAAUUCGGACAUGAGGUUAAAAUUUUCUUCAUUUUCCUCCACUAUAUAACCGAAGUUUUCAUUUACAAAGCAUAUGUCAGGAAAAAACAACUUGAGUAAUUUACUUUAUAGACUUCAAAAAAUGGGCUAAAUCCUAACCUCAAUGUACUGGAUACCUGUACUUUCACCUAACCCAAAACUUCCUACC
This 219-nucleotide long non-coding RNA is filed under the name Trifolium pratense (red clover). Its description in RNAcentral is "long non-coding RNA (TPRA_LNC010511)". The record is from RNAcentral. Lineage: Eukaryota; Viridiplantae; Streptophyta; Magnoliopsida; Fabales; Fabaceae.